GCCCACAUAGCUCAGGGGUAGAGCACUUCCUUGGUAAGGAAGAGGUCACCGGUUCAAAUCCGGUUGUGGGCU
Molecule: transfer RNA, 72 nt
Filed under: Gammaproteobacteria bacterium TMED281
Lineage: Bacteria; Pseudomonadati; Pseudomonadota; Gammaproteobacteria
Also listed under: 3 other names
Description: tRNA-Thr
Rfam family: tRNA
About the family: Transfer RNA (tRNA) molecules are approximately 80 nucleotides in length. Their secondary structure includes four short double-helical elements and three loops (D, anti-codon, and T loops). Further hydrogen bonds mediate the characteristic L-shaped molecular structure. tRNAs have two regions of fundamental functional importance: the anti-codon, which is responsible for specific mRNA codon recognition, and the 3' end, to which the tRNAs corresponding amino acid is attached (by aminoacyl-tRNA synthetases). tRNAs cope with the degeneracy of the genetic code in two manners: having more than one tRNA (with a specific anti-codon) for a particular amino acid; and 'wobble' base-pairing, i.e. permitting non-standard base-pairing at the 3rd anti-codon position.
Source: RNAcentral